AUUGAACGCUGGCGGCAUGCCUAACACAUGCAAGUCGAACGGCAGCGCGGGUAGCUUGCUACCUGGCGGCGAGUGGCGGACGGGUGAGUAAUGCAUAGGAAUCUGCCCAGUAGCGGGGGAUAGCCCGGGGAAACCCGGAUUAAUACCGCAUACGCCCUACGGGGGAAAGCAGGGGAUCUUCGGACCUUGCACUAUUGGAUGAGCCUAUGUCUGAUUAGCUUGUUGGUGGGGUAACGGCCUACCAAGGCGACGAUCAGUAGCUGGUCUGAGAGGACGAUCAGCCACACCGGAACUGAGACACGGUCCGGACUCCUACGGGAGGCAGCAGUGGGGAAUAUUGGACAAUGGGGGAAACCCUGAUCCAGCAAUGCCGCGUGUGUGAAGAAGGCCUGCGGGUUGUAAAGCACUUUCAGUUGGGAAGAAACAGCAGCCGGCUAAUAUCCGGUUGUCUUGACGUAACCAACAGAAGAAGCACCGGCUAACUCCGUGCCAGCAGCCG
RNAcentral lists this ribosomal RNA (499 nucleotides) under uncultured bacterium. Its description in RNAcentral is "bacterial SSU rRNA". It matches the Rfam family "Bacterial small subunit ribosomal RNA", at positions 30 to 517 of the family's 1533-position model. The record is from RNAcentral.